AUACGGAGGGGGCUAGCGUUGUUCGGAAUUACUGGGCGUCAAGCGCGCGUAGGCGGAUUGAUCAGUCAGGGGUGAAAUCCCGAGGCUUAACCUCGGAACUGCCUCUGAUACUGUCAAUCUUGAGUUCGAGAGAGGUGAGUGGAAUUCCUAGUGUAGAGGUGAAAUUCGUAGAUAUUAGGAAGAACACCAGUGGCGAAGGCGGCUCACUGGCUCGAUACUGACGCUGAGGUGCGAAAGCGUGGGGAGCAAACAGGAUUAGAUACCCUAGUAGUCC
RNAcentral lists this ribosomal RNA (274 nucleotides) under uncultured bacterium. RNAcentral describes it as "partial 16S ribosomal RNA". It matches the Rfam family "Bacterial small subunit ribosomal RNA", at positions 523 to 796 of the family's 1533-position model. The record is from RNAcentral.